CCUACGGGAGGCAGCAGUGAGGAAUAUUGCACAAUGGGCGAAAGCCUGAUGCAGCAAUGCCGCGUGUGUGAAGAAGGCUCUAGGGUUGUAAAGCACUUUCAAUAAGGAAGAAAAGCAUAUGGUUAAUAACCUUAUGUAUUGACGUAACUUAUACAAGAAGCACCGGCUAAUUCCGUGCCAGCAGCCGCGGUAAU
Molecule: ribosomal RNA, 194 nt
Filed under: uncultured marine bacterium
Lineage: Bacteria
Description: partial 16S ribosomal RNA
Rfam family: Bacterial small subunit ribosomal RNA
Source: RNAcentral